GAGGAUUUCAAAGGAAUAUAAACCACCAUCUCUGAAUGCUAAAAGCUCCCAGGGCAAUGCAUAGGAUCCCCAAAAGCAUCCUUCUGAACAAAUUAGAUUCAUUGUUCCUAAUCACAUAUACUAAGGCUUUCAAGCACAUCCUAGAUGAUAACCAUUUCCCAGGUUUUGGAAAGCAAAAUGUUCUGUAUGCCUGGGGCUUGUCAGUGUCAACGCAGCAGACUACCAUUUCCCUGCUGAGGGACCUGCAAUGGGAUGCAUUGGGCAGGUGUCUCCUACUCAACAACAUACAGUAAGUGGCAGAACAGGACAAGAACCCAGAAGGCAGAUGCAGCCUAUUCUCCGACUGCCAGUUAAGUAGAGAUUUCUUCUUUUUCUGCUGCAUUAUGAUGUCACAAGAAACACAGCAAAAGCUGUAAUCGGGGUUAGGGUAUAUUAGCUAGGACAUUUGGGUGGAACUAGACAUCAAGAAACCUGGGUACAUGACCUUGUUCUGACCCUGAAGUGCCAUAUUCUUUUUGGGCAUGUUCUUCCAAUCCUCUGUCAUUAGGUUUCUCAUCUGUGCUAAAAAUAAAAGAUGUAAUAAUCUUUACAAUACUAAUGGUUCAGAAUUUUGGAAUGAUACUAGUUAAACUUAACUACUCACAAGACUCUUAGCUUUCAGAGCUCAAAGUCAGGUAUGUGUCUGUCAUUCAUGAUUUUCCCACUCUUUUCUGACAUACCUCAAGUAAUCACAGAGAACCAUGUGUUAUUGGCACUGAAUUGCAGCUUGCCUUCAGUCUUUUUAUUCCUUUACAACUGGGUCAGGUUUAGCUCAGUGUGAUUGCAUCUAGUGUCAUAGCAGAUACCAUGUUUUCUCUGAUAGUGUUUUCUGAAGUAAGAUGUAUCCCCAACAUACAAGAUCUUCAAUGAAAACACAGUGAAUUGUGCUACCCUUUGACAGCUUUAGUAGAAUCAUGAAAUUAAAAACAAAUCAUUCAACCAAGGAUUUCUAGGGGGUUUGCAGAGUAUUCCAGGGCUAUUCUUAUGUUUGGGCUAUUAAUGCCAUAGGAACAGGGAAAUAAUGGAGGACUCUUGAAGGAAAGUAGUUCUAUAUUCCUCAAGGAAGCACACAGAUUUCAUAGGCUGGGCUUGAGCAGCUACUAAUUAACCAUGGCCCCAGCAAAUAUACACACAUAUCAUUAGAAAAAGUAUCAGUGGAUAUAGUAUAUACCAUAUCCAUAUCUAUAUACAUGCAUGCUAUAUAUAUAUUUUGUAUAUAAACCAAAUAUGUAGAACUGUUCAUUGAUAACCAUGUUUUAAAUCUA
RNAcentral lists this long non-coding RNA (1304 nucleotides) under Homo sapiens (human). RNAcentral describes it as "HSALNT0112457". The record is from RNAcentral. Lineage: Eukaryota; Metazoa; Chordata; Mammalia; Primates; Hominidae.